RNAcentral lists this ribosomal RNA (620 nucleotides) under Psathyrella fatua. RNAcentral describes it as "eukaryotic LSU rRNA". It matches the Rfam family "Eukaryotic large subunit ribosomal RNA", at positions 92 to 695 of the family's 3401-position model. Lineage: Eukaryota; Fungi; Basidiomycota; Agaricomycetes; Agaricales; Psathyrellaceae. The record is from RNAcentral.
AGUGAAGCGGGAAAAGCUCAAAUUUAAAAUCUGGUGGUCUUCGGCCAUCCGAGUUGUAAUCUAGAGAAGUGUUACCCGCGUCGGACCGUGUACAAGUCUCCUGGAAUGGAGCGUCAUAGAGGGUGAGAAUCCCGUCUUUGACACGGACUACCGAGGCUUUGUGGUGCGCUCUCAAAGAGUCGAGUUGUUUGGGAAUGCAGCUCAAAAUGGGUGGUAAAUUCCAUCUAAAGCUAAAUAUUGGCGAGAGACCGAUAGCGAACAAGUACCGUGAGGGAAAGAUGAAAAGAACUUUGGAAAGAGAGUUAAACAGUACGUGAAAUUGCUAAAAGGGAAACGCUUGAAGUCAGUCGCGUUGGCCGGAAAUCAGCCUUGCUUUUGCGGGGUGUACUUUCUGGUUGACGGGCCAGCAUCAGUUUUGACCGGUGGAAAAAGUCUAGGGGAAUGUGGCAUCUUCGGAUGUGUUAUAGCCCUUGGUCGUAUACAUCGGUUGGGACUGAGGAACUCAGCACGCCGCAAGGCCGGGUCUUUGACCACGUUCGUGCUUAGGAUGCUGGCAUAAUGGCUUUAAUCGACCCGUCUUGAAACACGGACCAAGGAGUCUAACAUGCCUGCGAGUGUUU